This 73-nucleotide transfer RNA is filed under the name Cryptopone sauteri. Its description in RNAcentral is "tRNA-Val". The record is from RNAcentral. Lineage: Eukaryota; Metazoa; Arthropoda; Insecta; Hymenoptera; Formicidae.
UAAAAUUUUAGUUUAGUUAAAAUAAUUUAUUUACAAUAAAUUGAGUAUUUAUCAUUAUAAAAUAAAAUUUUAA